This 88-nucleotide transfer RNA is filed under the name Elusimicrobiaceae bacterium. RNAcentral's name for it is "tRNA-Ser". It matches the Rfam family "tRNA". From Rfam's summary of the family: Transfer RNA (tRNA) molecules are approximately 80 nucleotides in length. The record is from RNAcentral. RNAcentral also lists the same sequence under 1 other name. Lineage: Bacteria; Pseudomonadati; Elusimicrobiota; Elusimicrobia; Elusimicrobiales; Elusimicrobiaceae.
GGAGAGGUGUGUGAGUGGUUGAAACAGCAGGUCUCGAAAACCUGUAAACCGCAAGGUUUCGAGGGUUCAAAUCCCUCCCUCUCCGCCA